GGGCCCGCACAAGCGGUGGAGCAUGUGGUUUAAUUCGAUGAUACGCGAGGAACCUUACCAGGGUUUAAAUGUAGAAUGACCGGGGUGGAAACACCCCUUUCUUCGGACAGACUACAAGGUGCUGCAUGGUUGUCGUCAGCUCGUGCUGUGAAGUGUCGGGUUAAGUCCCAUAACGAGCGCAACCCCCAUUUCUAGUUGCCAGCGGUUCGGCCGGGGACUCUAGGGAAACUGCCGGUGCUAAGCCGGAGGAAGGCGGGGAUGACGUCAAGUCCUCAUGGCCCUUACGGGUAGGGCUACACACGUGCUACAAUGGCAGUGACAAUGGGCUAAUCCCCAAAAGCUGUCUCAGUUCGGAUUGUCGGCUGCAACUCGCCGGCAUG
RNAcentral lists this ribosomal RNA (380 nucleotides) under uncultured bacterium. RNAcentral describes it as "bacterial SSU rRNA". It matches the Rfam family "Bacterial small subunit ribosomal RNA", at positions 917 to 1322 of the family's 1533-position model. The record is from RNAcentral.